UUAGCUCAGUUGGUUAGAGCAUCUGACUGUUAAUCAGAGGGUCGUAAGUUCGAGUCUUACA
RNAcentral lists this transfer RNA (61 nucleotides) under pig gut metagenome. It matches the Rfam family "tRNA", at positions 7 to 64 of the family's 71-position model. Rfam says of the family: Transfer RNA (tRNA) molecules are approximately 80 nucleotides in length. The record is from RNAcentral.